UUCAACUUCAGUCGAUCAAACCACAGUAGAUCAAGAAAGUAAAGAGUUAACGCUGAUCACGAUGGCCCCAGAGGAAUGACGUGGAAUUACAUGGAAUUCUUCAAUUCAAUUUUAUUUAUAUAGCGUCAAAUCAUAACUUACAUUAUCUGAAGGCACUUUACAUAGAAGGUCGAGACCUUAAAAAUUAUGGAGAAACACAACAGUUCCCACAAUGAGCAGCACGACUGUGGAGAGAAAAGAGGGGAGAGAGAGAUAAACACGUUUUCAUUGUUAUAAAGAAAACGAUAAGAGUGAUAUUUAUAGAUGUUAUUUAUGAUAGCAGCAACAAUUAAUAAAAUCAUGAUAAUAAUAAUAAGCUCUGUUGACAAAGUGCCACAUUCCCGAUCUUACUCUUCUCAUGUGGGGAUGGUGGAUGCAUUUGUUGGCCUCAUAUCCCGUCAUCCUUUUUCACACAUUUGUAUUUGUCUCAUCAAAAUAGCCAUUGCCGCCAUUGCGGCCAUUAUCGCUGGUAUCAUUGGUGUCAUCAUGAAAAAAAAACGCAGGUCUCAGAGAAGUUAUCCUGACAGUGAGGCUCCAAAACAAGGAGAGGGAAUUCCACUCUCGCAGUAAGCAUUAGCGUCCUGAUGGCCCAGCUGUACAGGAUGUACCAAUGAUCUGAAUGGAAGAGGGCCGCCCCUGGACGAGUGUUUGAACAUGCUUAUGGCUUUAAUUUGGAGAGACAGACAUGAUGAAAUGUCUAGAGAUCCUGAAAUCUCUGCAAAUUGCGCUCUGUUGGGACCUUGUAUUUGUGAACUACAGUUCGGCCUACAUGUGUAGUCAAAAGCUUAAGGCCGCAUGUCCUUUGUUCUGGAGAAAACCAGAGCCUCCAGAACUCCGUCUCCCAGGGUGCCUCAACAUCACACAGAGGUGUGAAAACCGACCAGGGACACAAGUUUCAACUCCUAUUGGUCACUCUGGGCCCCAUGACCUGUGAGGUCACCGGGCCAAUAUAAGGCCAGGUCUCCCCCUCUUCAUUUUCUUUCCAUGCAAUCCCUCCGAGGGGAGAAGUCUGGCUUCUCCAGCUCACAUCUUUUUUUUUUUCUACGCUACCCUCGAGAGGAGAAGGGGGUCCAGCUCACUCUUUCAACUCAAAUCAACUUCAUGGAGGAGAGGUGCAGCUUGCAGCUCAUCUCACCACGGAAACCUCCUCGCAAUCCAAGCUCUACCAACCUUCAAGCAGCGACGCGAUGUCCUG
This is a long non-coding RNA of Hippoglossus stenolepis (Pacific halibut), 1234 nucleotides long. RefSeq lists it as uncharacterized. The record is from RefSeq and is a predicted model, not a curated record. The transcript has 3 exons. Lineage: Eukaryota; Metazoa; Chordata; Actinopteri; Pleuronectiformes; Pleuronectidae.